This 75-nucleotide transfer RNA is filed under the name Acidobacteriota bacterium. Its description in RNAcentral is "Acidobacteria bacterium (marine sediment metagenome) tRNA-Gly". It matches the Rfam family "tRNA". Rfam says of the family: Transfer RNA (tRNA) molecules are approximately 80 nucleotides in length. Their secondary structure includes four short double-helical elements and three loops (D, anti-codon, and T loops). The record is from RNAcentral. RNAcentral also lists the same sequence under 1 other name. Lineage: Bacteria; Pseudomonadati; Acidobacteriota.
GCGGAUGUGGUGUUAACGACAGCAUGGGGGUCUACCAAACCCACGGUGCGAGUUUGACUCUCGCCAUCCGCUCCA